Molecule: ribosomal RNA, 450 nt
Filed under: uncultured bacterium
Lineage: Bacteria
Description: partial 16S ribosomal RNA
Rfam family: Bacterial small subunit ribosomal RNA
Source: RNAcentral
CCUACGGGAGGCUGCAGUAGGGAAUAUUGGACAAUGGGUGCAAGCCUGAUCCAGCCAUGCCGCGUGCAGGAAGAAGGCCUUCUGGGUCGUAAACUGCUUUUGCCGGGGGAUAAAAUAGCUAUGCGUAGCGAAUUGAAGGUACCUGGUGAAUAUGCCACGGCUAACUACGUGCCAGCAGCCGCGGUAAUACGUAGGUGGCAAGCGUUGUCCGGAUUUAUUGGGUUUAAAGGCUGCCAAGGCGGUCAAAGACGAAAUACGGCGGCUUAACGGUCGAGGUGCCAUUGAUACUGCUAGACUUGAGUACUGAUGAGGUAGGCGGAAUGGACGGUGUAGCGGUGAAAUGCUUAGAGAUCGUCCAGAACACCGAUAGCGAAGGCAGCUUACUAAGGAGUAACUGACGCUGAGGCACGAAAGUGUGGGGAUCAAACAGGAUUAGAUACCCCUGUAGUC